Molecule: ribosomal RNA, 612 nt
Filed under: uncultured bacterium
Lineage: Bacteria
Description: bacterial SSU rRNA
Rfam family: Bacterial small subunit ribosomal RNA
Source: RNAcentral
CGGACACACUGGGACUGAGACACGGCCCAGACUCCUACGGGAGGCAGCAGUGGGGAAUUGUUCGCAAUGGGCGCAAGCCUGACGACGCAACGCCGCGUGGAGGAUGAAGACCUUCGGGUCGUAAACUCCUUUCGAUCGAGACGAAUGGUUUCCGGGUGAACAAUCCGGAAAAGUGACGGUACCGAGAGAAGAAGCCCCGGCUAACUCCGUGCCAGCAGCCGCGGUAAUACGGGGGGGGCAAGCGUUGUUCGGAAUUACUGGGCGUAAAGGGCUCGUAGGUGGCCAACUAAGUCAGACGUGAAAUCCCUCAGCUUAACUGGGGAACUGCGUCUGAUACUGGAUGGCUUGAGAUUGGGAGAGGGAUGCGGAAUUCCAGGUGUAGCGGUGAAAUGCGUAGAUAUCUGGAGGAACACCGGUGGCGAAGGCGGCAUCCUGGACCAACACUGACACUGAGGAGCGAAAGCCAGGGGAGCAAACGGGAUUAGAUACCCCGGUAGUCCUGGCCCUAAACGAUGAAUGCUUGGUGUGGCGGGUAUCGAUCCCUGCCGUGCCGAAGCUAACGCAUUAAGCAUUCCGCCUGGGGAGUACGGUCGCAAGGCUGAAACUCAAAGG